UGUGUAGGCGGUUCUUUAAGUUUGGUGUGAAAUCUCCCGGCUCAACCGGGAGGGUGCGCCGAAUACUGAGGGACUAGAGUGCGGGAGAGGAAAGUGGAAUUCCUGGUGUAGCGGUGAAAUGCGUAGAUAUCAGGAGGAACACCGGGGGUGUAGACGGCUUUCUGGACCGUAACUGACGCUGAGACACGAAAGCGUGGGUAGCAAACAGGAUUAGAUACCCUGGUAGUCCACGCCCUAAACGAUGCAUAUUUGGUGUGGGUCAUUCAGUUGAUCCGUGCCGGAGCUAACGCGUUAAAUAUGCCGCCUGGGGAGUACAGUCGCAAGGCUGAA
RNAcentral lists this ribosomal RNA (330 nucleotides) under uncultured bacterium. RNAcentral describes it as "bacterial SSU rRNA". It matches the Rfam family "Bacterial small subunit ribosomal RNA", at positions 568 to 898 of the family's 1533-position model. The record is from RNAcentral.